RNAcentral lists this long non-coding RNA (1562 nucleotides) under Dromaius novaehollandiae (emu). RNAcentral's name for it is "lncRNA (ENSDNVG00000016961.1)". Lineage: Eukaryota; Metazoa; Chordata; Aves; Casuariiformes; Dromaiidae. The record is from RNAcentral.
CGCUCAUUCUGAAAAUCUUUUUAGUGGAUUUCAGAUACAAAUAAUGGUAUGUGAAAUCAGUAGAUUUAUAUCUGUCUGAAUUGCAAUGUGAAAUCACCUAAACAUAUCUUGUUAGCCUGUAGUUGUAUCUGAAGAGAAAUAUGAGUACCCAUUCCAUAAGCCACCAUACAAAUGUGCGGCACAAGUGAGGGCAAAGAAAGAGAAAUGCAUAAGAAACAAGAUUUGGAGUGAAUGGAGUGAACCAGUGUUUAUUGAUGCUGAAAAGACAGUGGACAUCACAUUGCUUAUCCUCACCUUGUUUUGCCUCCUGAUUUUCCUUGUAUGUUUGCUGACAUAUGCAUGUCGAAGGCACAGAUUCCUUGAAGCUAUGACCAUGCCUAUCCCACAGGCUUCAGACAGUAUCAAAACUUGGUUAGCUACAGAAGAGACUCACCACCAGAAACAUAUUUCAAUGCAAGUGGAAAUGCACUCAGAGACUGGGCUGGAAAUUACAGAGGAAAACUGUGACAUGAACGUUCAACAACAAAGACACUUGAUGAGAUCUGGAUCAGAAGACCUGUAACACCAAUAUGAUUUCUUUUCUGCAUGGAAAUUGUAAUUGUAAUAUUGCAUGGGAAUUGUAAUAUUCUAAGCAAGACUGAUACUGGAGUUUGCCUGAGCCCAACAAUCUGAUAUUAUGGAAAAUUUUUGAGCUCUGACAUUUUGCAACUCUUAGAAUGUGCUUUGGAACACAAAGGAAAAAGCAGCACUUUACAGGUUGUCUUUAACUACUACUGCUCUUCAGUCUMGUAAAAUUGCAGCAACUCAAAGCAUAUGAUAGGUUAUUGGGUCCUACUUGGGUCAAUAUAGAAUUAGUGUUCAUAAUACUGUUUCAUAAUACUGCAGUUGCUUCCAAAUAAUGUCCUCUAGAUCAAUGCCUUUGAAAACUGGCUGGUCUUACAAAUCUCAUAAUAACUACUCAAUAUCUGAUUUAAGUGGUCAGGAGAAAUGAUGGGAGCAACUGGUGUUUAUGGAAACAGCAGAAUAAGCUCACAAGGAUUUUCUAGAGCUCUGCAAAAAUCAUCUUCCGAGAUACUGCAAUGUGUCUGAAGACAACAACCAGAAAGAAAAGUCUUGUGUAAAGACACAGGGUCCUUUAAUGUGAUCACCAUAUUCCUGUGCAGUUAGCAAAAGGAGACAGCUUUAGACAGGGUGAAGAAAACAGAGAACAUUUUCUGUUGUACCCUAAUACUUUUUGAAACAGUCAGUAAAUAAGAUAUGCAUCUGUGCACAGGUUUGAUCCACCUGAAUAUGGGGGCUUUUUGGCAAAAUAUCUCCUUCAUCUCAGUGAAGAAGACUGCACUGUUCCUUCUUCCAUACCAAGAAUGGCUGAUAAGUUCUUAGAUCCCAGUCUGGAACUGCUUGGACAACGGAAGGACUGUCAUUGACUUCAUUUGCCAUAUGGUCAGGUUCAUGACCUCAGCAAAAGAAAUCAGCUUUACUAAGUAGUGUUAUAUUUCCUCUCAAUUUUAUUUUUUAUAGAAGGUGAGGGUGGCCUUGCUUAAGAACAUCAGUGUUAUUCC